CGAAACUUGCCCCGAGAUGAGUUCUCCCUGACUCCUUGAGAGUCCUGAAGGAACGUUGAAGACGACGACGUUGAUAGGCCGGAUGUGUAAGCGCAGCGAUGCGUUGAGCUAACCGGUACUAAUGAACCGUGAGGCUUAACCUUACAACGCCGAAGGUGUUU
This 161-nucleotide ribosomal RNA is filed under the name Escherichia coli O111:NM str. K6728. Its description in RNAcentral is "partial 23S ribosomal RNA". The stretch from base 1 to 143 matches the Rfam family "Bacterial large subunit ribosomal RNA", at positions 2788 to 2925 of the family's 2925-position model. The record is from RNAcentral. Lineage: Bacteria; Pseudomonadati; Pseudomonadota; Gammaproteobacteria; Enterobacterales; Enterobacteriaceae.